AUGUCAUAUAGUCCGAAUGCCCGGGGACCCCGUAAUCCGGGACUCCCUCAACAACGCAUCGAUGUCACAUUGGCUUGCUGGAAUGAGGGUCUCGUCCGAACGAUUUUUACCCACUUUGACGCCGAGGCAAUUCUCAAGAUCCCACUGUGUACGCGCCAAGUUGAGGACUUCUGGGCUUGGCAUCAUGAUCCUAGAGGAAGAUUCAGUGUUCGGUCUGCCUAUCAUAUGAUUCUCAAGACGAAGCACGGCAGGGAGGCAUGGCUGCAUGAGGAGGGCGGUACCUCCUAUGAGUUCAGCGAAACCAACAACUGGUCCAUGAUCUGGCAUAUCCAAGUCCCCUCAAAACUCAAGAUGUUUCAAUGGCGACUAGCCCGGCCGUCUAUGCCAACCGGGACUGUGUUGGAGCAUCAUCACAUGGCAACAGAAAACACUUGCCUACUCUGCGGAGCCGUGGACACAUGGAAACAUGCACUAAUCUCAUGUCCUAUGUCUGCAAGUGUAUGGGCGCUGGCACCUGAGGAGUUGGUGCACCACAUGCUAGAGCGAGGAGAGGAGAACCCGAAGGAUUGGCUAUUUGCAAUACAUGAAAUAUUAACAAAACAGCUCUUUGAUCGGUUGGUGGUUUCACUUUGGGCGAUAUGAGGAAUCAGAAGGAAGGCCAUCCAUGAGAACAACUUCCAAUCUCCCCACUCGGUGGACAGCUUCAUAUCUAGCUACUUGGGCGAGCUGCAGGUCAUCAAUGCCAAAACUCAUGUUGUGACGGCGCAAAGAACCGCGAGCCCAAGGAGGUGGUUGCCCCCGUCGGCGGGCAAUGCCAAGAUAAACGUCAAUGCGGCUGUGUCUAGGCAAGGAUUCGGGUCUAUUGGGGUGAUAUGCAGAGAUCAUGAAGGUAUGUUCAUCGGUGCAUCAACUUUUGGCUUCCGAAACAUUGUAGACCCACCGACCCUUGAAGCUCUGGCCAUUAGAGAAGCUCUGGCACUGGCAGACAAUCUAUAUUUGCGGUGGAUUGAAGUUGCAUCAGAUUGCAAAGUGGUGGUGGAAGAUUUACAGAAGGACAAUUUUGCAAGCUACGGUGCAAUUGUUCAUGAAAUAAUAGCCCAUGUUACGGAAGCAACUUAA
RNAcentral lists this ribosomal RNA (1119 nucleotides) under Triticum aestivum (bread wheat). Its description in RNAcentral is "partial small subunit ribosomal RNA". Lineage: Eukaryota; Viridiplantae; Streptophyta; Magnoliopsida; Poales; Poaceae. The record is from RNAcentral.